UUGCUCAGACCAAAGACUUCGGUCGCCUUGGAGCGAGGACNGUCCUAUCAGGUUGUUGGUGAGGUAACGGCUCACCAAGCCAAAGACGGGUAGCGGGUGUGAGAGCAUGACCCGCAGUAUCGGGACUGAGACACNGCCCGGACUCCUACGGGAGGCUGCAGUAACGAAUAUUCCGCAAUGCGCGAAAGCGUGACGGAGCAAUGCCGCGUGUGGGAUGAAGCUUUUCGGAGUGUAAACCACUGUCAGAGUUUAGGAACACAAUGACCAGACUCAAAGGAAG
RNAcentral lists this ribosomal RNA (280 nucleotides) under uncultured Planctomycetales bacterium. RNAcentral describes it as "partial 16S ribosomal RNA". It matches the Rfam family "Bacterial small subunit ribosomal RNA", at positions 192 to 490 of the family's 1533-position model. Lineage: Bacteria; Pseudomonadati; Planctomycetota; Planctomycetia; Planctomycetales. The record is from RNAcentral.